UACGUAGGGUGCAAGCGUUGUCCGGAAUUACUGGGCGUAAAGCGUGUUCAGGCGGUCUAGCAAGUCGGGCAUGAAAUCUCUCGGCUCAACCGGGAGGGGUUGUCCGAUACUGCUGGGCUUGAGGGCAGCAGAGGGUGGUGGAAUUCCGGGUGUAGUGGUGAAAUGCGUAGAUAUCCGGAGGAACACCAGUGGCGAAGGCGGCCACCUGGGCUGUACCUGACGCUCCAACACGAAAGCUAGGGGAGCGAACGGG
This 253-nucleotide ribosomal RNA is filed under the name uncultured bacterium. RNAcentral describes it as "partial 16S ribosomal RNA". It matches the Rfam family "Bacterial small subunit ribosomal RNA", at positions 524 to 776 of the family's 1533-position model. The record is from RNAcentral.